GGGCGGUUGGUGUAGUGGUAACAUAUCUGCCUUCCAUUAGCAGGUGCCAGGGGUUCAAUUCCCCUACCGCUCA
RNAcentral lists this transfer RNA (73 nucleotides) under Yarrowia lipolytica CLIB122. RNAcentral's name for it is "tRNA YALI0_C18931r". It matches the Rfam family "tRNA". From Rfam's summary of the family: Transfer RNA (tRNA) molecules are approximately 80 nucleotides in length. Lineage: Eukaryota; Fungi; Ascomycota; Dipodascomycetes; Dipodascales. The record is from RNAcentral.